CUUUGCCAGACUUUAGGCCUUAAUGGACUUUCCCUAACCCCCCCUUCUAUAUUCUGUCAUUUGGUCUGGUCCCUCCUCAGUGCUUUGGUUUCACAGAAGAGGCGGGCUCUGUAUCUCCUCCUCUUCCUACUUACCAAGCAGUAAGGGAAGGAAGUAGAAGUAAUGGGAGCACAGCAGCUUGGAGAUCACAGAUUAGGCCUGCAAGCAAGCAUGCCUACAAUAUAGGCUGGCCUUAGAAAUGUCUCACUGACAAGCUGAAGUCACCCAGCCCAGCUUCCCUGCCCACUUUGCAGCACACCAAUGAGCAGAUUCCAGCUGACAUCAUUUCUAUGUGCCCUUAACAGGGCCAUUAAGCUGUAUGAAAGGCGGGUACAUUGUUUUGUACACUAGCUCCACCUCCCUUCUAUGUGUCCCCAGCAAUAUAGAUAUAUAAUUCUAUUUAUUGCCUGUACCUUUUGUACAUAGCCCGUUUCUCAGUGGCCCCUUUUUCAUGUUUUCCCUAGCUACAUCUAUACAUAGUAUUUAUUGUCUGUACCUUAUGUACAUAGCUGGACCCUCAGUAGCCCCUUCUGUAAGUUCCCGAGGGUCCCCUCCUCUACAUCUAUAUAUUGUAUUUAUUAUCUGUACCUUAAGUACAUACUGUAGCUGGAUCCUCAGUGGCCCUUUCUGUAUGCCUUCCUGACACCAUCUAUAUAUUGUAUUAAUUGUCUGUAUCUUAAGUACAUAGCUGGAUCCAUAGUGACCCCUUCUGUGUGACCCCCCCUUUCUAUAUCUAUAUGUUGUAUUUAUUGUCUGUGCCUUAUAUACAUCCCACAGUGAAUCAAUAAUAAAAUAUAUAUUUUUUUA
This is a long non-coding RNA of Xenopus tropicalis (tropical clawed frog), 846 nucleotides long. RefSeq lists it as uncharacterized. Lineage: Eukaryota; Metazoa; Chordata; Amphibia; Anura; Pipidae. The record is from RefSeq and is a predicted model, not a curated record. The transcript has 3 exons.